Molecule: ribosomal RNA, 433 nt
Filed under: uncultured bacterium
Lineage: Bacteria
Description: partial 16S ribosomal RNA
Rfam family: Bacterial small subunit ribosomal RNA
Source: RNAcentral
AACGAACGCUGGCGGCAUGCCUAAUACAUGCAAGUCGAACGAGAUCUUCGGAUCUAGUGGCGCACGGGUGCGUAACGCGUGGGAAUCUGCCCUUGGGUUCGGAAUAACUUCUGGAAACGGAAGCUAAUACCGGAUGAUGACGUAAGCCCAAAGAUUUAUCGCCCAAGGAUGAGCCCGCGUAGGAUUAGCUAGUUGGUGGGGUAAAGGCCCACCAAGGCGACGAUCCUUAGCUGGUCUGAGAGGAUGAUCAGCCACACUGGGACUGAGACACGGCCCAGACUCCUACGGGAGGCAGCAGUAGGGAAUAUUGGACAAUGGGCGGAAGCCUGAUCCAGCACUGCCGCGUGAGUGAUGAAGGCCUUAGGGUUGUAAAGCUCUUUUACCCGGGAUGAUAAUGACAGUACCGGGAGAAUAAGCUCCGGCUAACUCCGUG